This 303-nucleotide ribosomal RNA is filed under the name uncultured bacterium. RNAcentral describes it as "partial 16S ribosomal RNA". It matches the Rfam family "Bacterial small subunit ribosomal RNA", at positions 507 to 808 of the family's 1533-position model. The record is from RNAcentral.
AGCAGUAGCCACGUAAUACGUAGGGUGCGAGCGUUAAUCGGAAUUACUGGGCGUAAAGCGUGCGCAGGCGGUUUUGUAAGACAGGCGUGAAAUCCCCGGGCUCAACCUGGGAAUGGCGCUUGUGACUGCAAAGCUAGAGUGCGGCAGAGGGGGAUGGAAUUCCGCGUGUAGCAGUGAAAUGCGUAGAUAUGCGGAGGAACACCGAUGGCGAAGGCAAUCCCCUGGGCCUGCACUGACGCUCAUGCACGAAAGCGUGGGGAGCAAACAGGAUUAGAUACCCCUGUAGUCCCUGUCUCUUAUACA